RNAcentral lists this ribosomal RNA (353 nucleotides) under uncultured bacterium. Its description in RNAcentral is "bacterial SSU rRNA". It matches the Rfam family "Bacterial small subunit ribosomal RNA", at positions 8 to 350 of the family's 1533-position model. The record is from RNAcentral.
AGAGUUUGAUCCUGGCUCAGGAUGAACGCUAGCUACAGGCUUAACACAUGCAAGUCGAGGGGAAACGACAUCGAAAGCUUGCUUUUGAUGGGCGUCGACCGGCGCACGGGUGAGUAACGCGUAUCCAACCUGCCCACCACUUGGGGAUAACCUUGCGAAAGUAAGACUAAUACCCAAUGACGUCUCUAGAAGACAUCUGAAGGAGAUUAAAGAUUUAUCGGUGAUGGAUGGGGAUGCGUCUGAUUAGCUUGUUGGCGGGUAACGGCCACCAAGGCGACGAUCAGUAGGGGUUCUGAGAGGAAGGUCCCCCANAUUGGAACCUGAGACACGGUCCAAACUCCUACGGGAAGCCA